GGAAGUGUGGCAGAACGGUAAUGCAGCGGCUUGCUAAGCCGUCGCCGCGGUCAAUCCGCGGUUGGGGGUUCGAUUCCCUCCACUUCCG
RNAcentral lists this transfer RNA (88 nucleotides) under Mycolicibacterium wolinskyi. Its description in RNAcentral is "Mycobacterium wolinskyi tRNA". It matches the Rfam family "tRNA". From Rfam's summary of the family: Transfer RNA (tRNA) molecules are approximately 80 nucleotides in length. Their secondary structure includes four short double-helical elements and three loops (D, anti-codon, and T loops). Further hydrogen bonds mediate the characteristic L-shaped molecular structure. tRNAs have two regions of fundamental functional importance: the anti-codon, which is responsible for specific mRNA codon recognition, and the 3' end, to which the tRNAs corresponding amino acid is attached (by aminoacyl-tRNA synthetases). tRNAs cope with the degeneracy of the genetic code in two manners: having more than one tRNA (with a specific anti-codon) for a particular amino acid; and 'wobble' base-pairing, i.e. permitting non-standard base-pairing at the 3rd anti-codon position. The record is from Rfam by way of RNAcentral. Lineage: Bacteria; Bacillati; Actinomycetota; Actinomycetes; Mycobacteriales; Mycobacteriaceae.